This 252-nucleotide unclassified non-coding RNA is filed under the name uncultured fungus. RNAcentral's name for it is "sequence contains 18S rRNA gene, ITS1, 5.8S rRNA gene". The stretch from base 1 to 52 matches the Rfam family "Eukaryotic small subunit ribosomal RNA", at positions 1780 to 1831 of the family's 1831-position model. The record is from RNAcentral. Lineage: Eukaryota; Fungi.
AAGUAAAAGUCGUAACAAGGUUUCCGUAGGUGAACCUGCGGAAGGAUCAUUCAUAAUAAGUGUUCUACUGCACUUUUUAAAAAUAGUACUCACCUUGUGUGCAAUGUUUGUUAGACUCUCUCGGGAGUCUGACAUUUAUACCAACCUUUUUUAUUUUGAACCACUUUGUCUGAAAAAUAUUAUGAAUACUUAAUUCUAAAUACAACUUUCAACAACGGAUCUCCUGGCUCUCGCAUCGAUGAAGAACGCAGC